CGCGUAGGCGGCUUAUUCAGUCAGGGGUGAAAGGCCCGGGCUCAACCCGGGAACUGCCCUUGAAACAGAUAGGCUAGAGUCCGAGAGAGGAUGGCGGAAUUCCCAGUGUAGAGGUGAAAUUCGUAGAUAUUGGGAAGAACACCAGUGGCGAAGGCGGCCAUCUGGCUCGGCACUGACGCUGAGGCGCGAAAGCGUGGGGAGCAAACA
RNAcentral lists this ribosomal RNA (207 nucleotides) under uncultured bacterium. RNAcentral's name for it is "partial 16S ribosomal RNA". It matches the Rfam family "Bacterial small subunit ribosomal RNA", at positions 568 to 774 of the family's 1533-position model. The record is from RNAcentral.